This 552-nucleotide ribosomal RNA is filed under the name Penicillium magnielliptisporum. RNAcentral's name for it is "partial large subunit ribosomal RNA". It matches the Rfam family "Eukaryotic large subunit ribosomal RNA", at positions 87 to 654 of the family's 3401-position model. The record is from RNAcentral. Lineage: Eukaryota; Fungi; Ascomycota; Eurotiomycetes; Eurotiales; Aspergillaceae.
CGGCGAGUGAAGCGGCAAGAGCUCAAAUUUGAAAGCUGACUCCUUCGGGGUCCGCAUUGUAAUUUGCAGAGGAUGCUUCGGGAGCGGUCCCCAUCUAAGUGCCCUGGAACGGGACGUCAUAGAGGGUGAGAAUCCCGUAUGGGAUGGGGUGUCCGCGCCCGUGUGAAGCUCCUUCGACGAGUCGAGUUGUUUGGGAAUGCAGCUCUAAAUGGGUGGUAAAUUUCAUCUAAAGCUAAAUAUUGGCCGGAGACCGAUAGCGCACAAGUAGAGUGAUCGAAAGAUGAAAAGCACUUUGAAAAGAGAGUUAAAAAGCACGUGAAAUUGUUGAAAGGGAAGCGCUUGCGACCAGACUCGCUCGCGGGGUUCAGCCGGCAUUCGUGCCGGUGUACUUCCCCGCGAGCGGGCCAGCGUCGGUUUGGGCGGUCGGUCAAAGGCCCUCGGAAGGUAACGCCCCUAGGGGCGUCUUAUAGCCGAGGGUGCAAUGCGACCUGCCUAGACCGAGGAACGCGCUUCGGCUCGGACGCUGGCAUAAUGGUCGUAAGCGACCCGUCU